CAGCCGCCGCGGGAAUACGAAGGGGGCUAGCGUUGCUCGGAAUCACUGGGCGUAAAGGGUGCGUAGGCGGGUCUUUAAGUCAGGGGUGAAAUCCUGGAGCUCAACUCCAGAACUGCCUUUGAUACUGAAGAUCUUGAGUUCGGGAGAGGUGAGUGGAACUGCGAGUGUAGAGGUGAAAUUCGUAGAUAUUCGCAAGAACACCAGUGGCGAAGGCGGCUCACUGGCCCGAUACUGACGCUGAGGCACGAAAGCGUGGAGAGCAAACAGGAUUAGAUACCCGCGUAGUCCCUGUCUCUUAUAA
Molecule: ribosomal RNA, 301 nt
Filed under: uncultured bacterium
Lineage: Bacteria
Description: partial 16S ribosomal RNA
Rfam family: Bacterial small subunit ribosomal RNA
Source: RNAcentral